AGCGUACACGGUGGAUGCCCUGGCAGUCAGAGGCGAUGAAGGACGUGCUAAUCUGCGAAAAGCGCCGGCGAGGUGAUAUGAACCUUUGACCCGGCGAUGUCCGAAUGGGGAAACCCAGUGCAAUCCGUUGCACUAUCGUUAACUGAAUACAUAGGUUAACGAGGCGAACCGGGGGAACUGAAACAUCUAAGUACCCCGAGGAAAAGAAAUCAACCGAGAUUCCCCCAGUAGCGGCGAGCGAACGGGGAGCAGCCCGGAGUCUGAAUCAGCUUGUGUGUUAGUGGAACGGUCUGGAAAGUCCGACGGUACAGGGUGAUAGUCCCGUACACGAAAGCACACUUGCUGUGAACUCGAAGAGUAGGGCGGGACACGUGGUAUCCUGUCUGAAUAUGGGGGGACCAUCCUCCAAGGCUAAAUACUCCUGACUGACCGAUAGUGAACCAGUACCGUGAGGGAAAGGCGAAAAGAACCCCGGCGAGGGGAGUGAAAAAGAACCUGAAACCGUGUACGUACAAGCAGUGGGAGCCUCUUUAUGGGGUGACUGCGUACCUUUUGUAUAAUGGGUCAGCGACUUAUAUUCUGUAGCAAGGUUAACCGUAUAGGGGAGCCGAAGGGAAACCGAGUCUUAACUGGGCGUUAAGUUGCAGGGUAUAGACCCGAAACCCGGUGAUCUAGCCAUGGGCAGGUUGAAGGUUGGGUAACACUAACUGGAGGACCGAACCGACUAAUGUUGAAAAAUUAGCGGAUGACCUGUGGCUGGGGGUGAAAGGCCAAUCAAACCGGGAGAUAGCUGGUUCUCCCCGAAAGCUAUUUAGGUAGCGCCUCGUGAACUCAUCUUCGGGGGUAGAGCACUGUUUCGGCUAGGGGGCCAUCCCGGCUUACCAACCCGAUGCAAACUACGAAUACCGAAGAAUGUUAUCACGGGAGACACACGGCGGGUGCUAACGUCCGUCGUGAAGAGGGAAACAACCCAGACCGCCAGCUAAGGUCCCAAAGUCAUGGUUAAGUGGGAAACGAUGUGGGAAGGCACAGACAGCCAGGAUGUUGGCUUAGAAGCAGCCAUCAUUUAAAGAAAGCGUAAUAGCUCACUGGUCGAGUCGGCCUGCGCGGAAGAUGUAACGGGGCUAAACCAUGCACCGAAGCUGCGGCAGCGACGCUUAUGCGUUGUUGGGUAGGGGAGCGUUCUGUAAGCCGUUGAAGGUGUGCUGUGAGGCAUGCUGGAGGUAUCAGAAGUGCGAAUGCUGACAUAAGUAACGAUAAAGCGGGUGAAAAGCCCGCUCGCCGGAAGACCAAGGGUUCCUGUCCAACGUUAAUCGGGGCAGGGUGAGUCGACCCCUAAGGCGAGGCCGAAAGGCGUAGUCGAUGGGAAACAGGUUAAUAUUCCUGUACUUGGUGUUACUGCGAAGGGGGGACGGAGAAGGCUAUGUCAGCCGGGCGACGGUUGUCCCGGUUUAAGCAUGUAGGCGGAGGUUCCAGGUAAAUCCGGUACCUUAUUAACGCUGAGGUGUGAUGACGAGGCACUACGGUGCUGAAGUGAUAAAUGCCCUGCUUCCAGGAAAAGCCUCUAAGCAUCAGGUAACACGAAAUCGUACCCCAAACCGACACAGGUGGUCAGGUAGAGAAUACCAAGGCGCUUGAGAGAACUCGGGUGAAGGAACUAGGCAAAAUGGUGCCGUAACUUCGGGAGAAGGCACGCUGAUAUGUAGGUGAAGUCCCUGCGGACGGAGCUGAAAUCAGUCGAAGAUACCAGCUGGCUGCAACUGUUUAUUAAAAACACAGCACUGUGCAAACACGAAAGUGGACGUAUACGGUGUGACGCCUGCCCGGUGCCGGAAGGUUAAUUGAUGGGGUUAGCGGCAACGCGAAGCUCUUGAUCGAAGCCCCGGUAAACGGCGGCCGUAACUAUAACGGUCCUAAGGUAGCGAAAUUCCUUGUCGGGUAAGUUCCGACCUGCACGAAUGGCGUAAUGAUGGCCAGGCUGUCUCCACCCGAGACUCAGUGAAAUUGAACUCGCUGUGAAGAUGCAGUGUACCCGCGGCAAGACGGAAAGACCCCGUGAACCUUUACUAUAGCUUGACACUGAACACUGGUCCUUGAUGUGUAGGAUAGGUGGGAGGCUUUGAAGCGUGGACGCCAGUCUGCGUGGAGCCAACCUUGAAAUACCACCCUUUAAUGGCUGGUGUUCUAACGUAGACCCGUAAUCCGGGUUGCGGACAGUGUCUGGUGGGUAGUUUGACUGGGGCGGUCUCCUCCCAAAGAGUAACGGAGGAGCACGAAGGUUGGCUAAUCCUGGUCGGACAUCAGGAGGUUAGUGCAAUGGCAUAAGCCAGCUUGACUGCGAGCGUGACGGCGCGAGCAGGUGCGAAAGCAGGUCAUAGUGAUCCGGUGGUUCUGAAUGGAAGGGCCAUCGCUCAACGGAUAAAAGGUACUCCGGGGAUAACAGGCUGAUACCGCCCAAGAGUUCAUAUCGACGGCGGUGUUUGGCACCUCGAUGUCGGCUCAUCACAUCCUGGGGCUGAAGUAGGUCCCAAGGGUAUGGCUGUUCGCCAUUUAAAGUGGUACGCGAGCUGGGUUUAGAACGUCGUGAGACAGUUCGGUCCCUAUCUGCCGUGGGCGCUGGAGAAUUGAGGGGGGCUGCUCCUAGUACGAGAGGACCGGAGUGGACGCAUCACUGGUGUUCGGGUUGUCAUGCCAAUGGCACUGCCCGGUAGCUAAAUGCGGAAGAGAUAAGUGCUGAAAGCAUCUAAGCACGAAACUUGCCCCGAGAUGAGUUCU
This 2775-nucleotide ribosomal RNA is filed under the name Enterobacter hormaechei. RNAcentral describes it as "bacterial LSU rRNA". It matches the Rfam family "Bacterial large subunit ribosomal RNA". The record is from RNAcentral. Lineage: Bacteria; Pseudomonadati; Pseudomonadota; Gammaproteobacteria; Enterobacterales; Enterobacteriaceae.